AGAGUUUGAUCCUGGCUCAGAACGAACGCUGGCGGCGUGGAUAAGACAUGCAAGUCGAACGGAAUUUCAUGAAGGGCAACCGGAUUGAAGUUCAGUGGCGAACGGGUGCGUAACACGUGGGUCACAUUCCGGGAAGUGGAGAAUAGCCCAGGGAAACUUGGAUUAAUGCUCCAUGUGGUCGCAAGACUAAAGGCGCAAGCCGCUUCCUGAUUGGCCCGCGGCCUAUCAGCUUGUUGGUGAGGUAAUGGCUCACCAAGGCUACGACGGGUAGCUGGUCUAAGAGGACGACCAGCCACACUGGAACUGAGACACGGUCCAGACACCUACGGGUGGCAGCAGUCGAGAAUCUUUCACAAUGGGGGAAACCCUGAUGGAGCGACGCCGCGUGGAGGAUAAGGUCUUCGGAUUGUAAACUCCUGUCAUGCGAGAACAAGGCUUUGCGGCUUGAUAGUAUCGCAAGAGGAAGAGACGGCUAACUCUGUGCCAGCAGCCGCGGUAAUACAGAGGUCUCAAGCGUUGUUCGGAAUCACUGGGCGUAAAGGGUGCGUAGGCGGCGAGGAAAGUCAGAUGUGAAAUCCGAGGGCUCAACCCUCGAAUGGCAUCCGAUACUUCCCCGCUCGAGAUUUGUAGAGGAGUCUGGAACUCUCGGUGUAGCAGUGAAAUGCGUGGAUAUCGAGAAGAACGCUCGUAGCGAAGGCGAGGCUCUGGGCAAAUUCUGACGCUGAGGCACGAAGGCUAGGGGAGCAAACGGGAUUAGAUACCCCGGUAGUCC
Molecule: ribosomal RNA, 772 nt
Filed under: uncultured bacterium
Lineage: Bacteria
Description: bacterial SSU rRNA
Rfam family: Bacterial small subunit ribosomal RNA
Source: RNAcentral